Molecule: long non-coding RNA, 551 nt
Filed under: Elaeis guineensis (African oil palm)
Lineage: Eukaryota; Viridiplantae; Streptophyta; Magnoliopsida; Arecales; Arecaceae
Description: long non-coding RNA (EGUI_LNC011243)
Source: RNAcentral
UGAAGGCCUAGUAUAGAUUACCAGCAAGCACAUAAAGUUUAAAACCAGAAAACCUAUCCAAGUUUCAGGUCUGCUGUUUCACUAAAUAAGAACAGUCUUUGCAACUUUCCACCCUAAGAUAUAAAUAGAAAGGAAAAAAACUAACUGCUUGGUUCAUCAAAGCUGAUCCUUCUAGUGACAAGCCAAAUACAAGUUUCAUCGCUAGUUGGGGUACUACAUAGCAGCCAUCUCCAACAGCUCCCUGAAGUCAAAAUUCUGUUUCAGAAGCACUUCUGUCAUCUUUGUUUGAUCAAUUGAAGUACGUCAUUUUUGAUCUCGUCUUGUCUGUUGAAUUCCGAUAAAAUCAAUUCAGCUAGUAUAUGGGUUUGAAGAUAUAGAAUGUAGUCCUCCAUGUUAUUCAAAGAAGCAACACAUGUUAGUCAAUGUUUUAGGACAUGUCAAAUAAAAUUACAGCACAUGUUAUUCAAAGAAUCGGCACAUUUUAGAUAGGGUAUCGAUAAGAUAAUAGUUAGUGUUUUGCUACUUGUGAGAAUGAAUGCCUCAAACAUGUG